AUGAUUUUGGAUCCGACUGAGUGGCGAACUGGUGAGUAACACGUGGGUAACCUGCCCAGAAGAAGGGGAUAACACCUGGAAACAGAUGCUAAUACCGUAUAACAACAAGAACCACAUGGUUCUUGUUUGAAAGCUGGCCUUUGUGCUAGUGCUUCUGGAUGGACCCGCGGCGUAUUAGCUAGUUGGUGAGAUAAUAGCUCACCAAGGCAAUGAUACGUAGCAGACCUGAGAGGGUAAUCUGCCACAAUGGGACUGAGACACGGCCCAUACUCCUACGGGAGGCAGCAGUAGGGAAUCUUCCACAAUGGACGAAAGUCUGAUGGAGCAACGCCGCGUGAGUGAAGAAGGGUUUCGGCUCGUAAAACUCUGUUGUUAGAGAAGAACAGCCGUGAGAGCAACUGCUCACGGUAUGACGGUAUCUAACCAGAAAGUCACGGCUAACUACGUGCCAGCAGCCGCGGUAAUACGUAGGUGGCAAACGUUGUCCGGAUUUAUUGGGCGUAAAGGGAGCGCAGGCGGUUUAUUAAGUCUGAUGUGAAAGCCUUCGGCUUAACCGGAGAAGUGCAUCGGAAACUGAUAAACUUGAGUGCAGAAAAGGAUAGUGGAACUUCAUGUGUAGCGGUGAAAUGCGUAGAUAUAUGAAGGAACACCAGUGGCGAAGGCGGCUAUCUGGUCUGUAACUGACGCUGAGGCUCGAAAGCAUGGGUAGCAAACAGGAUUAGAUACCCUGGUAGUCCAUGCCGUAAACGAUGAAUGCUAGGUGUUGGAAGGUUUCCGCCUUUCAGUGCCGCAGCUAACGCAUUAAGCAUUCCGCCUGGGGAGUACGACCGCAAGGUUGAAACUCAAAGGAAUUGACGGGG
RNAcentral lists this ribosomal RNA (860 nucleotides) under Fructilactobacillus sanfranciscensis. RNAcentral's name for it is "bacterial SSU rRNA". It matches the Rfam family "Bacterial small subunit ribosomal RNA", at positions 75 to 918 of the family's 1533-position model. Lineage: Bacteria; Bacillati; Bacillota; Bacilli; Lactobacillales; Lactobacillaceae. The record is from RNAcentral.